CUGGGAUACAAGUGGUUGAGCAGCAAACAGAGAAGCAGCAACUGAGUGUCCGAGACCACAGAUAGACACGGCUAACUUCAGAUGGUGCAGCUUCAGGGAAAGAUCACCUUCUUCCUGCACCAUCCCUUUUCCAAUUCUCCAUCCCACUGAAAACUGCUUUUAUUACCCAAUAAAAUCCUCCACACACACUACCCUUCAACCCAUUCAUGGGACCUCAUUCUUCCCAGAUGCUGGACGAGAACUCAGGUGCCGAGAGGGCAGGGGCUCGGAGGCUGCUGCGGGGCCCACACAGAGCCUGUUCUCACCAGAGAGAAGUGACCCCCGGUUCCAGUAUUCACUCACUCCAGUUCCCGCACUCGCUUGCUUGUGUAGCAGGACAAGCCGCAGACAAAACCCCUCAGACACCGAGUUAAAGAAGGAAGGGUUUUAUUCGGCUGGAAGGUUCAGCAAGACUCACGUCUCCAACAACUGAGCUCCCCAGAAUGCUUUGUCACCCAAGCUGGAAUGCAAUGGUGUGAUCUCGGCUCACUGCAAC
Molecule: long non-coding RNA, 535 nt
Filed under: Homo sapiens (human)
Lineage: Eukaryota; Metazoa; Chordata; Mammalia; Primates; Hominidae
Description: LNC_000406
Source: RNAcentral